AGAUUGAACGCUGGCGGCAUGCCUUACACAUGCAAGUCGAACGGCAGCACGGGGGCAACCCUGGUGGCGAGUGGCGAACGGGUGAGUAACAUAUCGGAACGUGCCCUGGAGUGGGGGAUAACUAGUCGAAAGACUAGCUAAUACCGCAUACGAUCUACGGAUGAAA
This 166-nucleotide ribosomal RNA is filed under the name uncultured soil bacterium. RNAcentral's name for it is "partial 16S ribosomal RNA". It matches the Rfam family "Bacterial small subunit ribosomal RNA", at positions 26 to 191 of the family's 1533-position model. The record is from RNAcentral.